CACGUAGGGGGCGAGCGUUGUCCGGAUUUAUUGGGCGUAAAGAGCUCGUAGGCGGCUCAGUAAGUCAGGUGUGAAAACUCCAGGCUCAACCUGGAGACGCCACCUGAUACUGCUGUGGCUAGAGUCCGGUAGGGGAGCAUGGAAUUCCUGGUGUAGCGGUGAAAUGCGCAGAUAUCAGGAGGAACACCCGUGGCGAAGGCGGCUCUCUAUCUCGAUUCUGACGCUGAGGCGCGAAAGCUAGGGGAGCAAACGGG
Molecule: ribosomal RNA, 254 nt
Filed under: uncultured bacterium
Lineage: Bacteria
Description: partial 16S ribosomal RNA
Rfam family: Bacterial small subunit ribosomal RNA
Source: RNAcentral